AACGAACGCUGGCGGCAGGCCUAACACAUGCAAGUCGAACGCCGUAGCAAUACGGAGUGGCAGACGGGUGAGUAACGCGUGGGAACAUACCCUCCGGUUCGGAAUAACUCAGGGAAACUUGAGCUAAUACCGGAUACGUCCAAGGUUUUAAUCGGCCUUGGAGAAAGAUUUAUCGCUGGAGGAUUGGCCCGCGUCUGAUUAGCUUGUUGGUGAGGUAAUGGCUCACCAAGGCGACGANCAGUAGCUGGUCUGAGAGGAUGAUCAGCCACAUUGGGACUGAGACACGGCCCAAACUCCUACGGGAGGCAGCAGUGGGGAAUAUUGGACAAUGGGCGAAAGCCUGAUCCAGCCAUGCCGCGUGAGUGAUGAAGGCCUUAGGGUGUAAAGCUCUUUACCCGGGAAGAUAAUGACGGUACCGGGAGAAUAAGCCCCGGCUAACUUCGUGCCAGCCGCCGCGGUAAC
This 462-nucleotide ribosomal RNA is filed under the name uncultured bacterium. RNAcentral describes it as "bacterial SSU rRNA". It matches the Rfam family "Bacterial small subunit ribosomal RNA", at positions 29 to 524 of the family's 1533-position model. The record is from RNAcentral.